AAGCCUGGUAUGAAUGGUCUGUAUGAGGUCUGGGGAGCAGAAGGUCACUAGGGGCAGAAAUACCCUGAAUGGAGGCCAGCAGGGGCUGAUGCUCCCUGCCAGCUACCACGCACUGUCUUCCAUGUUUUCCACAGGUUAUCCUCCACAAGCGUUGGAGCUGCAGCAUAAACUCUAUGUCAGGGAGGAAGAGCCAGGGCCAAGCACCACUGGGCAGGAGCUGGCCCUCAGGGAAAUGGACCUAACACUGGGAAGGUAAAGCCUGCCCAGGGUGACAGGGUCACAUACAGCUGAGUCCUGGAACUGAACCUCUCUGAGCUUCAGCCUGCUCCUCUGAACUGUGGGAUGCCAAUAAAACCAACAUCAUGGUAGGAAAGGCAGGCCUCUCAUACUGCUACCCCCCUCUUCCUUUUUUGGUGUCUCCUCACUCCUUAACUUGCACUUGCCUCACUAUCCACUUGGUAAUAUCCACAGCCAGGUCACUAUGACAGGACUCAACAUGGAGGACCAAGGCCACCAGGCCCAGCAUUGAGAGAAAAACCUGGAGUCCACAGAGGAUCAGCAGAAGCUGCAGGGCAACCUCUGGUGCUUGUGGAAACUCUAGCUCAAGUUCCACCACGUCCACUACCUGAGAGAGAGCUGGCGCUAAAACACCUGCAAUGGCACCUCCAGACCAACAACCCCUGCUGGCCCCUCAGCCAGCACCACUUACUGAGACCAACCCAGAGUCUCCCUUCCUCUCCUCUGCCAUUUAUUUAUUUCUUAUUUUUAUUUUCUUUGUUUAUUUACUUUUGCAUAAUGCUAUGUUUUAAAAUAUUUCGUUUACUGGCAUUGAGUACAUUCUCUAAACUGUGCACUGGUCACCACUAUGUAGUUCCAGAAUAUUUUACUGAAUUCGGUAUCCAUGACCACUGCCUCCCCCACCCUCCUGCUAGUCCCCAGCAACCCCUCAGCUUUCUAGUCCUGUGAUAUGCCUAGUCUGCAUUUUUCAAACCAGUGCAGUCUGAUUUCUCCUGGGCCAUAUAAUGUUGGAAAGGACUAUUUAAGUUUCUUUAGAUGGGUAAAUGCCAUUCAGGUCUGUUUUUU
Molecule: long non-coding RNA, 1083 nt
Filed under: Ictidomys tridecemlineatus (thirteen-lined ground squirrel)
Lineage: Eukaryota; Metazoa; Chordata; Mammalia; Rodentia; Sciuridae
Description: lncRNA (ENSSTOG00000033565.1)
Source: RNAcentral